RNAcentral lists this ribosomal RNA (575 nucleotides) under Lepomis megalotis. RNAcentral describes it as "partial large subunit ribosomal RNA". It matches the Rfam family "Bacterial large subunit ribosomal RNA", at positions 1816 to 2597 of the family's 2925-position model. Lineage: Eukaryota; Metazoa; Chordata; Actinopteri; Centrarchiformes; Centrarchidae. The record is from RNAcentral.
CGCCUCUUGCUGAAAAUAAAGAAUAAGAGGUCCCGCCUGCCCUGUGACUAUGAGUUUAACGGCCGCGGUAUUUUGACCGUGCAAAGGUAGCGCAAUCACUUGUCUUUUAAAUGAAGACCUGUAUGAAUGGCAUAACGAGGGCUUAGCUGUCUCCUUUCCCAAGUCAAUGAAAUUGAUCUCCCCGUGCAGAAGCGGGGAUAAGGCCAUAAGACGAGAAGACCCUAUGGAGCUUUAGACGCCAGGAUAAAUCAUGUCAAACACCCCUAAACACAGGGUUGAACCAAAUGAAAAUUAUCCCAUGUCUUUGGUUGGGGCGACCACGGGGAAAUAAAAAACCCCCGCGUGGACUGGAAUUAUACAAUUCCACAACUAAGAGCCCCCGCUCUAGUUAACAGUAUCACUGACCAAUGAGAUCCGGCAAAGCCGAUCAACGGACCGAGUUACCCUAGGGAUAACAGCGCAAUCCCCUUUUAGAGCCCAUAUCGACAAGGGGGUUUACGACCUCGAUGUUGGAUCAGGACAUCCUAAUGGUGCAGCCGCUAUUAAGGGUUCGUUUGUUCAACGAUUAAAGUCCU